GACACUAAUUUCCAAGCCCGCCUCCCACAGUACGGCAGAAGGAGAGGCGAGGGAGGCUGGAAGGGAAAGAGAGAGGAGCGAUUGGCUUCGGAGCAACGGAUCGGUAGAAGAGGCUGCGCCUGAAAAAGAGGGAGGUGGACCGGCUGGUCCGAAUCCAUCUGGAGACUGGAGGGGCCCAAAGCGAAGUCAAGCCGAGGUCUUGAGGCUUAAGGAAAGUCAAGCUUAAUCAUAGCAGCACCCGCCGGCUGGGCUGGGUGUUUUGCUGGAAACACGGAAACUUUUAUCCUGCCAGGCAAGGAGGGGUGGAAUCAUUUGGGAUCGGUUUCGUCUCGGGGAAGGAUUUCCACGUGCCCGGACUGCCUCCUGCGGACUGGAGAGACAGAUAACUUUCAGAGAAUUUACAGUCUGAAGAACUCCAGACUGACAAACACCCAUUAGAAAACCCAACUCAACUGCAAGUGAGACUGCACGGUCACAAUAUCCCACACAGGAUUAGAGCCAAGCCCCAAAAUGAAUAGUCACUAGAGACAGAAUAUCAUUCCAUAUUUUCACACCAGAAGGGUAACCAGAUAACCAUUGAAUACUCACGGGGAAAGGAUGUUCCCCACCACCCUCACCUGUUCCAUACAUAACACAAGCCUACAAGAGAAGCAGCUUAGGGGACACCAUAGCUGGGGCUGCUAUCACUUUCCUGCUUGGGUCCCUGUGCCUCUCAGAAAUACAUGAUCAAUGAAAGGGGUGCAGGUGCUGUUCCACCCUGUGUGGCUAUGCAUUUGCUGCUCUGUACUCUGCUACGCCACUUACAGAGGCAAAGGAACCUUGCAGCUGUGUCCAGUUGCUGUAAUGCCAUCAAUACUCACUUCAGUAUUGAGACUGUUCAAUAAAAUCUGUGGCUGUGUC
This is a non-coding RNA of Python bivittatus (Burmese python), 900 nucleotides long. NCBI's taxonomy places the organism in Eukaryota, Metazoa, Chordata, Lepidosauria, Squamata, Pythonidae. The record is from RefSeq and is a predicted model, not a curated record.